RNAcentral lists this ribosomal RNA (253 nucleotides) under uncultured bacterium. Its description in RNAcentral is "partial 16S ribosomal RNA". It matches the Rfam family "Bacterial small subunit ribosomal RNA", at positions 524 to 776 of the family's 1533-position model. The record is from RNAcentral.
UACGUAGGUGGCAAGCGUUGUCCGGAAUUAUUGGGCGUAAAGCGCGCGCAGGCGGCCUUUUAAGUCUGAUGUGAAAGCCCACGGCUCAACCGUGGAAGGUCAUUGGAAACUGAAAGGCUUGAGUACAGAAGAGGAAAGCGGAAUUCCACGUGUAGCGGUGAAAUGCGUAGAGAUGUGGAGGAACACCGGUGGCGAAGGCGGCCUGCUGGGCAGUUGCUGACACUGAGGCGCGACAGCGUGGGGAGCAAACAGG